Molecule: ribosomal RNA, 253 nt
Filed under: uncultured bacterium
Lineage: Bacteria
Description: partial 16S ribosomal RNA
Rfam family: Bacterial small subunit ribosomal RNA
Source: RNAcentral
UACGGGGGGGGCAAGCGUUGUUCGGAAUUACUGGGCGUAAAGGGCUCGUAGGCGGCCAACUAAGUCAUACGUGAAAUCCCUCGGCUUAACCGGGGAACUGCGUCUGAUACUGGAUGGCUUGAGUUCGGGAGAGGGAUGCGGAAUUCCAGGUGUAGCGGUGAAAUGCGUAGAUAUCUGGAGGAACACCGGCGGCGAAAGCGGCCAUCUGGACGAGGACUGACGCUGAGAUGCGAAAGCGUGGGGAGCAAACAGG